CAGAUCAUAGUUCUUAUUAGAAUUUUCCUUUUACGCUGGAAAGGGUGACUAAAUUUUUAGUUUGAUUUGA
This 70-nucleotide transfer RNA is filed under the name Chalcopteryx rutilans. RNAcentral describes it as "tRNA-Val". The record is from RNAcentral. Lineage: Eukaryota; Metazoa; Arthropoda; Insecta; Odonata; Polythoridae.